Long non-coding RNA from Oncorhynchus tshawytscha (Chinook salmon), 572 nucleotides. The record is from Ensembl. Lineage: Eukaryota; Metazoa; Chordata; Actinopteri; Salmoniformes; Salmonidae.
GUAACAUGCAGAACUAGUUCAUCAUCGUUCCAUUGGAUAAUAAUGGACAUGUGGUAACAUGCAGAACUAGUUCAUCAUCGUUCCAUUGGAUAAUAAUGGACAUGUGGUAACAUGCAGAACUAGUUCAUCAUCGUUCCAUUGGAUAAUAAUGGACAUGUGGUAACAUGCAGAACUAGUUCAUCAUCGUUCUAUUGGACAACAAAGGACAUGUUGUAAAAAUAUAAGAUAUUUAUCUAAAGAGACAUCGGCACAUGUAGCAUGAGUCACAAAUGGCACCAUAUUCCGUUAAUAGUGCACUACUUUCUACCAGGCCCCUAGUGCACUACUUUAACCAGGCCCCUAGUGCACUACUUUCUACCAGGCCCCUAGUGCACUACUUUCUACCAGGACCCUAGUGCACUACUUUCUACCAGGACCCUAGUGCACUACUAAAUAUAAGAUAUUUAUAAGAUAUUUAUCUAAAGAGACAUCGUGCACUACAUGAGUCACAAAUGGAUCCCUAGUGCACUACUUUCUACCAGGACCCUAGUGCACUACUUUAACCAGGACCCUAGUGCACUACUUUCUACCAG